Molecule: ribosomal RNA, 468 nt
Filed under: uncultured bacterium
Lineage: Bacteria
Description: partial 16S ribosomal RNA
Rfam family: Bacterial small subunit ribosomal RNA
Source: RNAcentral
GACGAACGCUGGCGGCGUGCUUAACACAUGCAAGUCGAACGGAAAGGCCCUGCUUUUGUGGGGUGCUCGAGUGGCGAACGGGUGAGUAACACGUGAGUAACCUGCCCUUGACUUUGGGAUAACUUCAGGAAACUGGGGCUAAUACCGGAUAGGAGCUCCUGCUGCAUGGUGGGGGUUGGAAAGUUUCGGCGGUUGGGGAUGGACUCGCGGCUUAUCAGCUUGUUGGUGGGGUAGUGGCUUACCAAGGCUUUGACGGGUAGCCGGCCUGGGAGGGUGACCGGCCAAAUUGGGACUGGGAUACGGCCCAGACUCCUACGGGAGGCAGCAGUGGGGAAUAUUGCACAAUGGGCGGAAGCCUGAGGCAGCACCGCCGCGUGCGGGAUGACGGCCUUCGGGUUGUAAACCGCUUUCGCCUGUGACGAAGCGUGAGUGACGGUAAUGGGUAAAGAAGCACCGGCUAACUACGUG